UCCGUUUAUUUACGAAAUACUUAACUGUAAACAAAACACGUGCAUAUUAGCGGUGCGACUGCAUUACAUUCGUUUCAUUUGUUUUUUUUUAGUACGCGAGUGAAAAUCAUUUAUAUAAAAUUGUAUUUAAUUUUUAUAGAAUAAAGAUGCCCGUAAUAGACCCAAAUUCGUUGGUAAAUCUCCAAAAAGACAUCGAGCGUGUGCGUAAUAUCUGCAUUUUAGCACAUGUCGAUCACGGAAAAACCACACUAGCUGACUCACUUGUUGCUAGCAAUGGCAUAAUUUCUCAACGUAUGGCAGGAAAACUACGUUACCUGGACACGCGUCAAGAUGAGCAGGAACGUGGCAUUACCAUGAAGAGCAGCAGCAUAUCGUUGCAUUACCGUGGCAAUGCUGAAAAUGGCAGCGAACAAGAUUAUCUGGUUAAUCUCAUCGAUUCUCCUGGACAUGUUGACUUCUCGAGUGAAGUCUCCACAGCUGUGCGUUUGUGCGAUGGCGCCAUCGUUGUGGUUGAUGUAAUCGAAGGUGUUUGUCCGCAAACACGCUUAUGCUUAGAACAAGUUUACAAAGAGCAACUGAAGCCUGUUUUGGUUCUAAAUAAAAUUGACCGUCUCAUAAUGGAAAGGAAGCUUAAACCGUUAGAUGCCUAUUAUCACAUACGCCAAGUUUUAGAGGGAGUAAAUGCUGUACUCGGCAGUAUAUUUGCUUCGGAUGUGCUAGCAAAGGAAGAUAUUACUAAUAAGGACCACUAUGAGUCGGCGCUAGAAGAUGCAGACGAUUCAAAAUUAUAUUUCUCUCCAACUGAGGGAAAUGUUAUUUUUUGCUCUGCAUAUGACGGCUGGGCUUUCUCAGUGAGCGACUUUGCCAGAAUCUUUGCAGACCGUUUAGAAAUGUCGCAAAUAGACUUGGAACAAGUACUUUGGGGCGACUUUUAUUACAAUGUUAAAAAGAAACGUGCCUUUCUUGGUGCGCAGGAAAAAGCAAAGAAACCGAUAUUCGUACAGUGCAUACUAGAUAAUAUAUGGGGUCUCUACGAUGUUGUAGCAUUCCGUAAGGAUAUGGUAAAACUUCAAAGCGUCGCCGACACAUUAGGCAUUAGACUGCAAGCGCGUGAUUUGCGUAACACCGAUCACAAAGCUCAAAUAAAGGCUGUGCUCGGUCACUGGCUGCCCAUCGAUCGCACCGUCUUGGAGAUGGUGGUGCGACAUGUACCCGCACCAAAUGUAAUCUCCGAUGAGCGCGCCGAAAGGCUACUUUUUCAACAAAAUGCCAAGUUAGACAGUUAUCCACCGGAGACAUUAUUGCUAAAAGAAGAGUUCAAAAGAUGCGACAGCAAAAGUGAAAACAUCAUUGUAUUUGUUUCCAAGAUGGCACCUGUGCAUGUCUCACAACUGCCGCAAAAUAAGGAGAAGCACCUCACUGAAGAGGAACUGAGAGCGCGACGAGAAGAAGUGCGCCGACGCAUUGAAGCCCGUAAACAAGCGCAGGAAAAUGCGAAUUUAGAAAAUCUUACGGCUGGCGUACAACAAUUGAAUGUUGCAGAAACGUCCGUUGUGCCUUCAAGCAGCAGUGAAUGUCAAGAAGAGUCCAGACAAGAAGAACCAGAAAAGCCUGAUCACGUUUUUGUUGCAUUUGCCCGCAUCUUCAGUGGUACUCUACGACCGGGCAUGCGCUUGUACAACUUAGCACCUAAACAUGACCCUCGAAAUAAAGAUCAGUUAAAUUUGGACUCGCCUUACAUAAGCGAGGUGACGAUCGGAGAUCUGUACAUGUUUAUGGGCGGCGAAUUGCAAUCGCUGGACGAAGUGCCAGCUGGUAACAUUGUGGGCAUUGGCGGCCUGGAUCAGGAUAUCAUCAAGACAGCAACAUUGAGUAGCACCAUGAACUGCACAUCGUUCAGUGAACUCAACCUGAUGGCUACGCCUGUGUUGCGUGUGGCUAUUGAGCCAGUGAAUCCGCAAGACUUACCCAAACUUGUGAAGGGUCUUAAAUUGUUGAAUCAGGCUGAUGCAUGUGUGCAAGUAUCGAUGGCGCCCACCGGUGAGCAUGUUAUCACCACUCUGGGCGAAGUGCAUGUGGAGAAGUGUGUGCGCGACCUGGAAGAGAGCUAUGCCAAGAUAAAAAUCAAUGUCUCUGAACCUAUAGUGUCUUUCCGUGAGACCAUAGUACCUGAAGCUACAAUGGAUAUGGUUAAUAUGGCUAUAGUAAAGACGGCCAGCGAUAAAGACAUAACUAAAAAGAUUAUCACACAGCAAACAGCCAACAAGUUGGGCACACUACGCAUUAUAGCGUUGCCGCUGCCUGAAUCUACUGCUACUGUGCUAGAAACAUACCACAGCUUCAUUAAAGAGUUGACAGCAAAUAGCAAAGGCGUUGCAGUUUCUGAAAAAUACGUCGCACUUAUAGCUCAGCUAAGAGGGCAAAUUUGUAACACUUUGCGUGAAUUAGAACUUAAGGGUCUGUCAGAGCUAAUGCCGAGCAAGUUGGUGGAUCGUAUCUGGGCACUCGGUCCGCACAAUUGCGGUACUAAUAUUCUCCUUAAUUUGAGCGACUAUGAGCAACCGAAUUUUUGGCAGUCGUUGAUGAACCAAACGGAUAAUGAUGCCGCUACUAAAGUGGCGAGUGACGUGCGCAGAGAUUAUAAUAGCUCAUUUGUUAAUGGCUUUCAGUUGGCGACCGCUGCUGGGCCACUUUGCGAAGAGCCGAUGCAAGGCGUCGCUUUUGUGGUGCUCGAGUGGUCGGUCGAGGAGGGAGACGACUUGAAUUCCAAGUCUUUUGGUCCAUUUUCUGGCCAAGUGCUGACUGCAGUGAAGGAAUCUUGUCGCAUGGCAUUCCAGGCGCAACCGCAACGUUUGGUCAGCCCUAUGUUCAGUUCUACAAUUGUGGUAAAUGCAGAAGUUUUAGGUGACGAUAUACAGUUCAAAAACGGAAGAAAUCGGAUAAUAACCACGCCUACCUCCCAUACAAAGGUUGUGUUGAAAAUCACUAAAAGUGCGUUAACCGACUAACAAAAAACGUCAAAAACACUAAAUUUUACGGAAGAAAUGGCAGAAGGAAGCUGACCUCAGGCUGUUUUUAAAAAUUGAAAAUGGGCGUGGCGUCGCCCACUUUUGGACCAAAAACCAUAUCUCAGGAACUACUCAACCGAUUUCAAUGAAAUUCGGUAUAUAAUAUUUUCUUAACACCCUGAUGACAUGUACGAAAUAUGGGUGAAAUCGGUUCACAACCACGCCUUCUUCCAAUAUAACGCUAUUUUGAAUUCCAUCUGAUGCUUUCUCUGUAUAAUACGAGGAUAUACAUUAGGAACCAAUGAUGAUAGCGGAAUAAAACUUUACACAAAUACGGAAAAAUGUACGCUGUAAUUGGUCGGCGUCAUGGCAAGAUUCUUUCUGGCGAUUCGAUCCAAGGCAGUGGCAACUUUUCUGUAUUGGCCAU
RNA transcript from Bactrocera neohumeralis, 3435 nucleotides. It is a transcript of the gene named elongation factor-like GTPase 1, with no coding region annotated. The record is from RefSeq and is a predicted model, not a curated record. NCBI's taxonomy places the organism in Eukaryota, Metazoa, Arthropoda, Insecta, Diptera, Tephritidae. The transcript is spliced from 9 exons.